AGAGUUUGAUCAUGGCUCAGGACGAACGCUGGCGGCGUGCUUAACACAUGCAAGUCGAGCGGUAAGGCCCUUUCGGGGUACACGAGCGGCGAACGGGUGAGUAACACGUGGGUGAUCUGCCUUGCACUCUGGGAUAAGCCUGGGAAACUGGGUCUAAUACCGGAUAUGACCUUCGGCUUCCUGGUCGUUGGUGGAAAGAUUUAUCGGUGCAAGAUGAGCCCGCGGCCUAUCAGCUUGUUGGUGGGGUAAUGGCCUACCAAGGCGACGACGGGUAGCCGGCCUGAGAGGGCGACCGGCCACACUGGGACUGAGACACGGCCCAGACUCCUACGGGAGGCAGCAGUGGGGAAUAUUGCACAAUGGGCGGAAGCCUGAUGCAGCGACGCCGCGUGAGGGAUGACGGCCUUCGGGUUGUAAACCUCUUUCGACUCCGACGAAGCGAGAGUGACGGUAGGAGUAUAAGAAGCACCGGCCAACUACGUGCCAGCAGCCGCGGUAAUACGUAGGGUGCGAGCGUUGUCCGGAAUUACUGGGCGUAAAGAGCUUGUAGGCGGCUUGUCGCGUCGAUCGUGAAGACUCGGGGCUCAACCCCGAGCUUGCGGUCGAUACGGGCAGGCUUGAGUACUUCAGGGGAGACUGGAAUUCCUGGUGUAGCGGUGAAAUGCGCAGAUAUCAGGAGGAACACCGGUGGCGAAGGCGGGUCUCUGGGAAGUAACUGACGCUGAGAAGCGAAAGCGUGGGUAGCGAACAGGAUUAGAUACCCUGAUAGUCCACGCCGUAAACGGUGGGUACUAGGUGUGGGUUUCCUUCCACGGGAUCCGUGCCGUAGCUAACGCAUUAAGUACCCCGCCUGGGGAGUACGGCCGCAAGGCUAAAACUCAAAUGAAUUGACGG
This 894-nucleotide ribosomal RNA is filed under the name uncultured bacterium. RNAcentral describes it as "bacterial SSU rRNA". It matches the Rfam family "Bacterial small subunit ribosomal RNA", at positions 8 to 916 of the family's 1533-position model. The record is from RNAcentral.